RNAcentral lists this ribosomal RNA (270 nucleotides) under uncultured bacterium. Its description in RNAcentral is "partial 16S ribosomal RNA". It matches the Rfam family "Bacterial small subunit ribosomal RNA", at positions 32 to 312 of the family's 1533-position model. The record is from RNAcentral.
AAUCAACGCUGGCGGCGUGCCUAACACAUGCAAGUCGCACGAGAAAGUGGAGCAAUCCAUGAGUAAAGUGGCGUACGGGUGAGUAACACGUGACUAACCUACCCUCGAGUGGGGAAUAACCUCGGGAAACCGGGGCUAAUACCGCAUAACAUCGCGAGAUCAAAGCAGCAAUGCGCUUGAGGAGGGGGUCGCGUCUGAUUAGCUAGUUGGUAGGGUAACGGCCUACCAAGGCGAUGAUCAGUAGCCGGCCUGAGAGGGCGCACGGCCACA